RNAcentral lists this long non-coding RNA (604 nucleotides) under Nicotiana benthamiana. RNAcentral's name for it is "long non-coding RNA (NBEN_LNC039656)". The record is from RNAcentral. Lineage: Eukaryota; Viridiplantae; Streptophyta; Magnoliopsida; Solanales; Solanaceae.
AAAGGACUUAGUUUUGUACAAAGCAGAAAGCAGGUCCGUUGGCAGCAACUUGUCUUUCGCAUCAGGGUCUGCGUGCGGUGCUGUUAGCACGCGCAACACUAUUUGAAGUCCGUCUGCUGCUGGCCGCUGGCAAGGUAUUAGGAUCCCUUGUAUAUAUAAAUGAUGAAAUGUUUGAUCCAAAAUAGAGGUAAUUAUAGUUGUGUCACGUUUUAGUAAUACUAAUAAGCACGAUGUAAUUUUAUUAAUGUGCGUAUAUUUGGGGUGUGAUCAAAACAAUUAUUCAAAAAACUUAGAGAUAACUGAUCAGAAUUAGUGAAACUAUAAGAAUUUUAAUAAAGACUAAAUCAAAUUGGAAGUGCAAAGAUUUUUUAGUAAUCUUCAAUUAGUCAAUAUAUAAAAGUUAAAUCGAACCCCAUAUUCUUAGUUUGGCAAUACCAACUGGAAGAUAGCAAACUCUUCCAAAAUUCUCCAACGUCAAACUAUUACCGAAUUGACUCGGCGAACAAUGGCUAGUCUUUGGCAAAUGGCCUCACAUCACUUCAUUAAGCUUGGCUGGCGCACCUUUGGUACUUUAUAAUAGCACGACUCUUUGAAUACUUCUUCC